Molecule: long non-coding RNA, 1029 nt
Filed under: Calidris pygmaea (Spoon-billed sandpiper)
Lineage: Eukaryota; Metazoa; Chordata; Aves; Charadriiformes; Scolopacidae
Description: lncRNA (ENSCPGG00000013179.1)
Source: RNAcentral
AAAACACGGAGAAGGCGCCCGUUGCGCCGUCAGUCCGGGAGGUUUCGGGACCCGGGCACAACCCCGCCAUGGCCGGCGGCCGUCCCUGCCCGGCGCAGCCGCCUCUGCCUCGGGGCAGAUCUGGCUCUCACGUCGCCCUUUCUGGCUAAACCCUCCCCAGGGCACGGCUGCCAACGGCACCUUUCAGCAAAGCUGCGAAAAAUCACCAAUUCGCCAGAAACAAACCGAAAACUCGGGCGAAGGAGCCCUUCGCGGCGCGCCCCUCACCGCCCGGCCCGGCCCGGCCCAGGGCAGCGCGCCCGGGGCCCGCCCUGCAGCCGGAGCGGCGCGGGCCGCCGCAGCCCCGGGGCCCCGGCCACUCCCGUCCCGCUGAGCCGGGCUCCGGGGCCGCAAGCCCUGCCCGUCGCGGGACCCGCGCCCCGCCGGGCCGGGCCCUGCUCUAACGCGGCCGCGGUACCCACCAUCUUCGCCGCUCGCACCGGAAAGAACGUCGCGUUGCGGGGCGGGGCGAGAGGUGGCCCGGCAGGGCCUCGCCGCGGCUGCCCGGAGCCCGCCCGCCCGCAGCUGCCGCCCUGGCCCGGAAGCAGGCGGGGCCCGCCCGGCCCGGCGCCGUCUGCCCGAGGAGCCCCGGCCGCCUGGAGCUGCCGGGAGGCGGUGGGUGGCGGCCACGGCGGGUCAGCGCCGGGAGCCGCGGGCCUGCGGGCGCGGGGGCCGCCCUCCUGCCGGGGCCGGGGGCCUGCGGGCGCGCUGGUGUGCCGGGGCUCGGGGCGGGCACAGCUAAAGGGUGUCUCAGAACGGGCCAGGGAGCAACCGGAAAGCGCGGGACCCCCGGCUGCGCUGGGUGACAGCACACGGGGCAGCUUUAGAAAUAGCCGCGGUUUCCUCCGGUCACCUCGGUUCUGUGGGGAUGAAAUGCAGUCCCUCAGUCACAGAGCAGGUAAGGAUAACUGUCCUUUUGCUCCUAAAACCUCCUUUGCUUCCCAGUUAAAGCUGGCUGGGGUGAUUAUACUGUUGAUUAACAGCAUUUGA